This 468-nucleotide ribosomal RNA is filed under the name uncultured bacterium. RNAcentral describes it as "partial 16S ribosomal RNA". It matches the Rfam family "Bacterial small subunit ribosomal RNA", at positions 28 to 507 of the family's 1533-position model. The record is from RNAcentral.
GACGAACGCUGGCGGCGUGCUUAACACAUGCAAGUCGAACGGAAAGGCCCUGCUUUUGUGGGGUGCUCGAGUGGCGAACGGGUGAGUAACAAGUGAGUAACCUGCCCUUGACUUUGGGAUAACUUCAGGAAACUGGGGCUAAUACCGGAUAGGAGCUCCUGCUGCAUGGGGGGGGUUGGAAAGGUUCGGCGGUUGGGGAUGGACUCGCGGUUUAUCAGCUUGUUGGUGGGGUAGUGGCUUACCAAGGCUUUGACGGGUAGCCGGCCUGAGAGGGUGACCGGCCACAUGGGGACUGAGAUACGGCCCGGCCUCCUACGGGAGGCAGCAGUGGGGAAUAUUGCACAAUGGGCGGAAGCCUGAUGCAGCAACGCCGCGUGCGGGAUGACGGCCUUCGGGUUGUAAACCGCUUUCGCCUGUGACGAAGCGUGAGUGACGGUAAUGGGUAAAGAAGCACCGGCUAACUACGUG